This 557-nucleotide ribosomal RNA is filed under the name uncultured archaeon. Its description in RNAcentral is "bacterial SSU rRNA". It matches the Rfam family "Archaeal small subunit ribosomal RNA", at positions 202 to 761 of the family's 1478-position model. The record is from RNAcentral.
CCCAAGGAUGGGACCGCGGCCGAUCAGGUUGUUGGUGAGGUAAUGGCUCACCAAGCCUUUAACCGGUUCGGGCCGUGGGAGCGGGAGCCCGGAGAUGGGCACUGAGACAAGGGCCCAGGUCCUACGGGGCGCAGCAGUCGCGAAAACUCCGCAAUACGCGAAGGCGUGACGGGGCUAUCCCGAGUGCCGUCCGCUGAGGAUGGCUUUUCCCCAGUGUAGAUAGCUGGGGGAAAAAGGAGAGGGCAAGUCUGGUGUCAGCCGCCGCGGUAAUACCAGCUCUCCGAGUGGUGGGGAUGAUUAUUGGGCCUAAAGCAUCCGUAGCUUGCUGAUCAAGUCCCCUGUUAAACCCAACGAAUUAAUCGUUGGAUUGCGGGGGAUACUGCUCGGCUAGGGGACGGGAGAGGCCGACGGUAUUUUCGGGGUAGGGGUGAAAUCCUAUAAUCCCGAGAGGACCACCAGUGGCGAAGGCUGUCGGCUAGAACGCGCCCAACGGUGAGGGAUGAAAGCUGGGGGAGCGAACCGGAUUAGAUACCCGGGUAGUCCCAGCUGUAAACGAU